RNAcentral lists this microRNA (23 nucleotides) under Populus tomentosa. RNAcentral's name for it is "Pto-N18". The record is from RNAcentral. Lineage: Eukaryota; Viridiplantae; Streptophyta; Magnoliopsida; Malpighiales; Salicaceae.
UUUGAGACUGUUCCCGAGGAGCA